This 688-nucleotide long non-coding RNA is filed under the name Ananas comosus (pineapple). Its description in RNAcentral is "long non-coding RNA (ACOM_LNC036451)". Lineage: Eukaryota; Viridiplantae; Streptophyta; Magnoliopsida; Poales; Bromeliaceae. The record is from RNAcentral.
UAUAUAGAGCGAGGCUACCAUGCUUCUGGAAGCACGGAGCCUCCCGUGCUUUUAGGUCGUUUUUCAUGUUGCGACUUUCGAAUCGUCGAUCGGCUCCGUUAAACUUGAUCUAGAGUAUUUGAAAUAUCUAGAAAAUAAAUUAUGCGAUUUUUUAAUAUUAUUUGCCUAGUGAAUGAAGGGGCUCAAAAUUAACUGCUGAAAAUAAAAAUCUUAUAAUACUUGAUAAUAUGAUAUUAAAAUUUUAGAUCAAAGAUAUUGAUCUUGUUUUAUAUAGUAUAAAGAAUUUUUUAUCAAAAUUUUACGUAAUUUGGAUAUUUCUACACCGUUAAACUUGCAAAUGGCUCACUACGGCCUUUAAAAUUAUUGAUUUUGAGCCCCCUUCGAUCAUUAGGCAAAUGAUAUCAAAAAUCAUAAAAUUUAUUUUCUAGGUACUUCAAAUACUCUAGAUCAAGUUUAACGGAGCCGAUCGACGAUUCGAAAGUUGCAACAUCGAAAACGACUUGAAAACACGGAAGGCUCCGUGCUUCCAAAAGCAUAGUAGCCUCACUUAUAUAUAUUUAUAUAUAUAUAGUAGGUUUCCUACGUUUUCAAAAGUAUGGAAGCUCUCGUAUUUGUAAGGUAUUUUAUGAUGAUAAGACAUUCGAUUCAACAAUUGGCUCCGUUAGGUAUGAUUUAUCCUAUUAAGAAA